Sapajus apella (tufted capuchin) is the source of this 225-nucleotide long non-coding RNA. RefSeq lists it as uncharacterized. The transcript is spliced from 3 exons. The record is from RefSeq and is a predicted model, not a curated record. Lineage: Eukaryota; Metazoa; Chordata; Mammalia; Primates; Cebidae.
UAUGGUUUAUCCCUGUUGACAAUCACCCAGUGUUCUAUAAUCCUAUCCUAGCUUUCUAGUUACAUGUAAGGAUUAAGGCCUUCACAAUCAGUAGAUUGAGGCCCAUGAAACUGACUUUCAAUUCAUGCUCCCCACUUCACUGGCUACCAUAACUGAGGUGAGUAACAUUUAACUCCUUAACUCCUUCUCCUGAUACUGAGCCAACCCCAAUACUGAUAAUUACAA